GACGAACGCUGGCGGCGUGCCUAAUACAUGCAAGUCGAACGAACCGCGACUAGGUGCUUGCACUUGGUCAAGGUGAGUGGCGAACGGGUGAGUAACACGUGGGUAACCUACCUCAUAGUUGGGGAUAACAGACGGAAACGACUGCUAAUACCGCAUAGGACAUAGGAUCACAUGAUCCAGUGAGGAAAGGUGGCGCAAGCUAUCGCUAAGAGAUGGACCCGCGGUGCAUUAGCUAGUUGGUAGGGUAAAGGCCUACCAAGGCGAUGAUGCAUAGCCGACCUGAGAGGGUGACCGGCCACAUUGGAACUGAGACACGGACCAAACUCCUACGGGAGGCAGCAGUAGGGAAUCUUCCGCAAUGGACGCAAGUCUGACGGAGCAACGCCGCGUGAGUGAAGAAGGUCUUCGGAUCGUAAAGCUCUGUUGUUAGAGAAGAACAGCGCAUAGAGUAACUGUUAUGCGUGUGACGGUAUCUAACCAGAAAGCCACGGCUAACUACGUG
RNAcentral lists this ribosomal RNA (502 nucleotides) under uncultured bacterium. RNAcentral describes it as "partial 16S ribosomal RNA". It matches the Rfam family "Bacterial small subunit ribosomal RNA", at positions 28 to 507 of the family's 1533-position model. The record is from RNAcentral.